UACGUAGGGUGCGAGCGUUGUCCGGAAUCAUUGGGCGUAAAGGGCGCGUAGGUGGCCCGGUCAGUCGAUGGUGAAAGCGCGGGGCUCAACUCCGCGUCGGCCGUCGAUACUGCUGGGCUUGAGCACUGUAGAGGCAGGCGGAAUUCCGGGUGUAGCGGUGGAAUGCGUAGAGAUCCGGAAGAACACCGGUGGCGAAGGCGGCCUGCUGGGCAGUGGCUGACACUGAGGCGCGACAGCGUGGGGAGCAAACAGG
This 253-nucleotide ribosomal RNA is filed under the name uncultured bacterium. RNAcentral describes it as "partial 16S ribosomal RNA". It matches the Rfam family "Bacterial small subunit ribosomal RNA", at positions 524 to 776 of the family's 1533-position model. The record is from RNAcentral.